GCCUACGGGGCGCAGCAGUGAGGAAUAUUGGUCAAUGGCCGGGAGGCUGAACCAGCCAAGUCGCGUGAGGGAAGACGGCCCUACGGGUUGUAAACCUCUUUUGUCAGGGAGCAAGGGGCGGGUCGAGACCUGCUGCGAGAGUACCUGAAGAAAAAGCAUCGGCUAACUCCGUGCCAGCAGCCGCGGUAAUACGUAGGUGGCAAGCGUUGUCCGGAUUUAUUGGGCGUAAAGCGAGUGCAGGCGGUUCAAUAAGUCUGAUGUGAAAACCUUCGGCUC
RNAcentral lists this ribosomal RNA (276 nucleotides) under uncultured bacterium. RNAcentral describes it as "partial 16S ribosomal RNA". It matches the Rfam family "Bacterial small subunit ribosomal RNA", at positions 337 to 610 of the family's 1533-position model. The record is from RNAcentral.